UGUCUCAGUACAAAGCCAAAUUAAGGUGAAACCGCGAAAGGCUCAUUAAAUCAGUUAUGGUUCCUUAGAUCGUACACACAUUUACUUGGAUAACUGUGGUAAUUCUAGAGCUAAUACAUGCAAACUGAGCUCCGACCGGAGACGGAAGGAGCGCUUUUAUUAGAUCAAAACCAAUCGGUGUUCUGCACCGUAUAUAUAAUUUGGUGAUUCUGAAUAACUUUAAGCUGAUCGCACGGUCUUGCACCGGCGACGCAUCUUUCAAAUGUCUGCCUUAUCAACUGUCGAUGGUAGGUUCUGCGCCUACCAUGGUUGUAACGGGUAACGGGGAAUCAGGGUUCGAUUCCGGAGAGGGAGCCUGAGAAACGGCUACCACAUCCAAGGAAGGCAGCAGGCGCGCAAAUUACCCAUUCCCGGCACGGGGAGGUAGUGACGAAAAAUAACGAUACGGGACUCAUCCGAGGCCCCGUAAUCGGAAUGAGUACACUCUAAACCCUUUAACGAGGAUCAAUUGGAGGGCAAGUCUGGUGCCAGCAGCCGCGGUAAUUCCAGCUCCAAUAGCGUAUAUUAAAGUUGUUGCGGUUAAAAAGCUCGUAGUCGAAUCUGUGUCCAACGCCGCCGGUUCAUCGUUUCGCGGUGUUAACUGGCGUGUCGUGGGACGUCCUGCCGGUGGGCUUUAGCUUUAAAAGGCGGUCCAACUCAAUCCCUGCCGCGGUGCUCUUCACUGAGUGUCGAGGUGGGGCCGGCACGUUUACUUUUGAACAAAUUAGAGUGCUUAAAGCANGGCUAAAAUUUCGCCUGAAUACUGUGUGCAUGGAAUAAUGGAAUAGGACCUCGGUUCUAUUUUGUUGGUUUCAAAUUCCAACGGGGUAAUGAUUAAUAGGAACGGAUGGGGGCAUUCCGUAUGC
This 905-nucleotide ribosomal RNA is filed under the name Pseudolyprops sp. COL730. RNAcentral's name for it is "SSU rRNA". It matches the Rfam family "Eukaryotic small subunit ribosomal RNA", at positions 56 to 899 of the family's 1831-position model. The record is from RNAcentral. Lineage: Eukaryota; Metazoa; Arthropoda; Insecta; Coleoptera; Tenebrionidae.